This 1391-nucleotide long non-coding RNA is filed under the name Sorghum bicolor (sorghum). Its description in RNAcentral is "long non-coding RNA (SBIC_LNC012505)". The record is from RNAcentral. Lineage: Eukaryota; Viridiplantae; Streptophyta; Magnoliopsida; Poales; Poaceae.
GCUUUAAUUUACUGCAUUUUAUAAACAUGAAAACAAAAUAAAAAGAGUGCGUAGAUAAGUGUGCUUUAUUUAUCUGCUAAGUUUAAUCUCUAGAAAAAUAAAAAGACCAAAAAGAUGCAUGAUGGAAAUGAUGAACAGUUGCUCUGUUUGCGUACUUUCAAGUACCUAGCUUUUAUAUUAGAGUUCUUCCAGGAAUUACUAAAAACUGAAAUUAUUAUUUAUGGGAAACAUAAAACUAAAGUCUAGGUAGGAGAAAGACAUAAUAUAAAGUUUGAGCUGCUGUUUAUCUUGUUCCUACUACACUAAGUUCUGGAGAUUUAUUUUGAAAACUUACAAAUCACAUGAUGAGUUCCUAGCAUAACAAACUACCUACCACAGCCAUACUUCCUAUAAUAUCUUUUACUUAUAUUUACAUUGAGUUUGAUUGAGCUGUGUAGACCCUUAGGAGCUUUUCAUGUGGUUAAAUUAAGAUAUUCACUUGCACACAUCUACUACACCAUCCACCACCAUUCAUUAAAAUUGCUAAAAAAAUAUUAUUAUCACUCACUGUCCCAAAUAUUGUUAUUCUCUCUCUCUAAAAAGAUUCAAUGCAGAAGAGGCAUGGGUUAUACAAAAAUAUGCAAGGAAAUAAAAAGGGGCAAGUGCCUGGAACCUCGGAAAAGAAAGAAAAAGAGUGAGACGAGAGGUAAAAAUGGACAAGUGUCCGGAGUAGAAUUAGGGGUACAAAGAUGCCCACUUGAGCGAAAAAAAUGGACAAGUGUCCGACAGUAGAAUUAUGGGUAUUUACUACCCACCUAAAAAAAAGAAGAAAAAGAGAUAGCCCAUGUUCUCCCAAAGCAAUGAUCAAAGAAGAGGAGAGAUAGCAAUAUGAGGAGCAAUAAGAAGUAAGCUUUAUCAUUACUUAUAUUUUCACUAUCACUAUCAUUUACUCCACCACACAUGCACAUCUUGAUUUAAUUAUAUGCUGAGUUCCUUUGGAUCCAUGGCUCGAUUAGACAACAUAUGUAUGAGCUGUUUUUCACUCCUAUGAGCUCCACUUAAACAUUCCAUUAGCUAUAGGUAAGUGACAUUUUUGGUAAGGAUCCACAAAUACCAUAUAUAGAGAGACUUGAGAGAAUCAUUGCUGGGAACUCUGAGUUUUAUUUUGAAAACUUAUGAAAAACUAUGGAACAAAGGUGAAGUAUAGACAGGAGGAAUAGUGCUUGACUUAAUUAUUUUGUCUUUCAAUUACUUAAGACUUAAGUGCAGGUACUAAGUUCUAUAACACUUCACUCUAAUCUGGAAGAAUUUUGUAAAAGCAUGUGUGCCUGUCAGGAAAGAAAACAUCGAAGCAGCUCCUGAUCAAAGUGUAAGCUUGUGGGAGUUUGUUGACGGUCCUUAAGUACUAAAAU